RNAcentral lists this ribosomal RNA (585 nucleotides) under uncultured bacterium. Its description in RNAcentral is "partial 16S ribosomal RNA". It matches the Rfam family "Bacterial small subunit ribosomal RNA", at positions 355 to 1375 of the family's 1533-position model. The record is from RNAcentral.
UGGGGAAUUUUGGACAAUGGGCGAAAGCCUGAUCCAGCAAUGCCGCGUGUGUGAAGAAGGCCUUCGGGUUGUAAAGCACUUUUGUCCGGAAAGAAAUCCUCUGGGUUAAUACCUCGGGGGGAUGACGGUACCGGAAGAAUAAGCACCGGCUAACUACGUGCCAGCAGCCGCGGUAAUACGUAGGGUGCAAGCGUUAAUCGGAAUUACUGGGCGUAAAGCGUGCGCAGGCGGUUUUGUAAGACGGAUGUGAAAUCCCCGGGCUUAACCUGGGAACUGCAUUCGUGACUGCAAGGCUAGAGUAUGGCAGAGGGGGGUAGAAUUCCACGCGUAGCAGUGAAAUGCGUAGAGAUGUGGAGGAAUACCGAUGGCGAAGGCAGCCCCCUGGGCCAAUACUGACGCUCAUGCACGAAAGCGUGGGGAGCAAACAGGAUUAGAUACCCUGGUAGUCCACGCCCUAAACGAUGUCAACUAGUUGUUGGGGAUUCAUUUCCUUAGUAACGUAGCUAACGCGUGAAGUUGACCGCCUGGGGAGUACGGUCGCAAGAUUAAAACUUAAAUGAAUUGACGGGGUCAUAGCUGUUUCCU